Long non-coding RNA from Tachysurus fulvidraco (yellow catfish), 1730 nucleotides. RefSeq lists it as uncharacterized. The record is from RefSeq and is a predicted model, not a curated record. The transcript is spliced from 3 exons. Lineage: Eukaryota; Metazoa; Chordata; Actinopteri; Siluriformes; Bagridae.
CCCACGUCGCUCCUUCGGGCUGAGCCUGGCCGGGCCCCGUGGGGUAAGGCCCGGCCACCAGGCGCUCGCAUGCGAGCCCCAACCCCGGGCCUGGCUCCAGGGUGGGGCCCCGGUUGCACCAAACCGGGCGACAUCAUGGACCUUGUUUUAGUUUUCUUCAUAAGGGUUUUUGAACCGCUCUUUGUCUGGUCUGUCACCUAGGACCUGUUUGCCUUGGGAGACCCUACCAGGGGCAGAAAGCCCCAGACAACAUAGCUCCUAGGAUCAUUCAGGCACGCAAACCCCUCCACCACAAUAAGGUGGCGGUUCAAGGAGGGGCGGAGCUUAAACCGUUACCACAUAGUAUGGAUCAGGCCGAUUUAGCUGCUAGAAGUAAUUCGACUACCUCUUUGGGUCCCGGGAGUGAACAGAAUUCUGAGGACUCAGGACAGCACAGAACAGGAACAGGACAACAGAACAGGAGUCUGGCUUUAGUACUGAGGAUGGCCCAUUGGAUCACUCUGUAGACCAGCUAAUUAAGGAAUCAGAAAUGUCUGACCCCGUUAGGCGUUCUACAUGCAGUACAGCAGGCCAGCACUCAAAUCCUUUUUGUCUGCCUCAAGCUGUGACACAGAAUGUUACCCCCAGGAUAGGAGAAGUCAGUUCUCUGCUCACCCCCUUUAGACCUUGGCAGUAGUGAUGUAGGUUGAGUAUUCACCGGGACGGUGAUCAUUAAGGCAGGGGUGUAUGUAGUAGGGUCAGUAGGGGGUGCCGUUGAGCUAUUUUUCCUCAUUGCGUCACCCGCAGCUGGGUGGAUUUGCCUUUAUAUACGCCACUUCCGGCGGAUACGGCGCGCUGUUCAACUGUUUGUCCUUCCAGCGACGAGCAACCACAUGCGCGCCAAAGUGUUGGUAGGUCUUUUUUUAAAUAGUAGUAUUUAAGAGAGUUGGAUGCGUUUAUUGAUUUAUUUUUUUUGUUACUAGUAUGUUCUGGGUAUUGCUGUCACAACUGUAUUCAGUUACUACACUCUACUUGUAAAUGCUGUCGGGCUGGUAUUGGAUGCUGCAUUUAAUUUUAUAUAUGUGGCGUGAACGCUGCUGUUACCCAUACUGGUCGAGAGGGGUGAACACUGAGAUUUGUGCAGCACACUGCAUUCUAUUAUAUGUGUGCAUUUUAGAUAUUGUUGACAGUUAAUACUGACGGUGAACACUGAAAAGACCUAUCAGCGGUGAUUAAACUGCUUUAUAAAUCCUUGUGCAUGUGUAUGACAGUUAAAGGGUUUUAUAGGUGACAUACAGCCUUAUAAACACUGGGUUAACCUGCAACCAUAAAUGAAGCAGUGAGGUUGAGUCAGAGUUAGGGCUCACUGCAGAACAUUCGAGUUCUUCACUCCAACCUUCACACACUGUGUCUUCAUCUGUGCUUUAUGUACAGAGACGUUGUCAUGAGGGAACAGGGUUUGUGUUCUGGCCAAUUACCAGCAAAAGUAAUCAAUUCAAUGAAGAAGAUUCUGAAAGUCCAGGGUUGUGAUGCCAAAAAAAGACUUUAUUCUGAAACUGAUUCCAUGGAAGCAAGAAAUAAGUCAAUGUGUGCUCUGUUUUAUACCUUUUCCUAACAGCCAAACCUAAGCCCACUUUUUUCUUUGCAAGCCUUCUCAUGAUUUGCUCUCAUCAUCAUCUCUGAAACCCUCAGGAACUGUCCAACUUUAUAACAGAAUGGUGGUGCAGCAAAUCUUUUUAAAAACAUAACAC